AACGGUCUAUACCUGCGGUACCUGCGGAGGGAUCAUUACAUGGCGGAGGAGGUGGGCACACCUAGUAAAACCCUAGGUGUGUGUUGCCUUCCACGCUUUCUACCCUUGUCUAUUUGCACCUUUUGUCGUUCCCUCGGUGGGUCUUGAACCUGCCGGCGGCAACUUUCAAAAACCUUUUUGCAGUAGUAUCUAAUUCUUCUGAUCUAAAUAAUAAAUCGUUACAACUUUCAACAAUGGAUC
Molecule: unclassified non-coding RNA, 240 nt
Filed under: soil metagenome
Description: partial contains 5.8S ribosomal RNA, internal transcribed spacer 2, and large subunit ribosomal RNA
Source: RNAcentral